This 253-nucleotide ribosomal RNA is filed under the name uncultured bacterium. RNAcentral's name for it is "partial 16S ribosomal RNA". It matches the Rfam family "Bacterial small subunit ribosomal RNA", at positions 524 to 776 of the family's 1533-position model. The record is from RNAcentral.
UACAGAGGGUGCAAGCGUUAAUCGGAAUUACUGGGCGUAAAGCGUGCGUAGACGGUUAUUUAAGUCAGGUGUGAAAGCCCCGGGCUCAACCUGGGAAUUGCAUUUGAGACUGAAUAGCUAGGGUGCGGAAGAGGGAAGCGGAAUUUCCGGUGUAGCGGUGAAAUGCGUAGAUAUCGGAAGGAACACCUGUGGUGUAGACGGCUUUCUGGACAACUCCUGACGCUGAGACACGAAAGCGUGGGUAGCAAACAGG